UGGUACGUCUAAUUGUAAAAUAUAAGGUAGAUUAAUGGAUACCAUGAAGCCACAUCAGUUUGUGGGUUUACUUUGUGUAAUCUCUUAUAUCGAUAGCAGUUCUCUUGAAAAACUGGACCCAAAGUUUGAUGGCUGGAUUUGGGUGUGACUGCAGUGGGGCAAUGAAGCUUCUCCUGUUGUUUUGUUUUCUGAUUUGUAAAAGUUUUUUGAACUAUUUGCUAUUGGGAAAAUCUUUGCUUUGUCUUUACAAAAUAGUAGAUUGAGUUGUGAACGGUGAAAUCUUGUUUGAAAGCUAAGUUGACAUCUUGUCCUUGGGUGGAUUGUGCUUUUCUUAUUUCUUGUUCAGUAUUAUUGUCUUUCCACUUCUACUGGUUCUGCAUUCUUGGGAUAUGAUUUUUUCAUGUGCGGAUAGAUUGAACAGCCUAUGAAUUUCGUUUGGAGAAGUUGAAAAUAGGGGAUUAACCGAGCUGAGUAAAUAGGACUGCAUGAGAUGAGAUGAUUUGUUUCUCUCUCUUCAUAUGGUUUGAGCUUCAGUCUAGAGGAAAUAUGACGGUUUUUUUUGCUAGGAUGUUCAUUUGCGUUUUGGAGGAAGGUCUCUAUGUUCUUUUCUUACUAUUCCCAGUUUUGUGUUUUCUUUGUCUUCACUUGGUUUUUUCUCCUAAUUUGAUUUUUUUUUCUUUAUCUGUUUGGAGGUCAAGUGUGGAGCAAAUUUGAGUGUUCUUUUACUAAAGGGUCUUUGUCUAUGGUCGGGAGAGGAUCCCUUUGUGUUUUUUCUUCUGACUCUUUUGUAUUGUGUUUUUUUCUCUUCGGUUUUGGGCCUUAUUUUAUGUCGUCUCUGAUCUAGUAUUCUCUGUUGUGGUUGCCAUGUGCUUGUUUGUAGGUGUUCUUCCUUUGGGGCCUUUUCCCCCAAUGUUUUUGCUUCUCCAUGAUGGUGUUCUUACAUGUUGAGGUUGUCUAUGUGGGGUCUUCAAAUUCAUCUCAGUGUGCUUCUGGCUAUCUAGUUCUGACAAAUUUGCCAAAAUUGGGCUUUCCUUUUUCACACAACCCACCACACAGAGACAUGCAAGCUUCCCAUACAAAGAGACCUGAAACUAAAACCUCCAGAAUCGUUUCUGAACACAAACCAAUGCACAUUUACUUUAUUUUUUCUCUUAUGUUUUUCUAUUUUCUCAAGCAGUGGUACUUGUAAAAAAAAAAAAAAAUCUCAAGCAGUGGCUUUCUGCUCUCAUGGCCGCAGGGGACUUGAUUGACUCGGCUGUUUGGGCUUAGCUGGGGAAUCACAAUUGCAAUAGUUGGAAUUUUCAGUUUGUGAAUAUUGUUCUUUGCUUUUGCUUUGCCAUUCUCUAUUGCUUCUUUGACGAGAUUCAUCCAUAUUCUCAAAGAGCUUUCUGGCUGCCUUAGUGUGAAAUGAGCUUACAGGCACAUGCAGAGUAUGAAACAACUAGGGGACACUAUGUACAUGAAGACUGUCCAAGACGUUAAUCCUGACUUCUAUUUUAUUUUUUAGGAUCUUCUUUUCUUGGGUCUCUGAUAUCCUUUUAGGACUUGGAGCAUUAGCCUGUGCCUCGUGGAAUCUUCCCCAUUUGUACUUCUUGUUUACUUGGAUUGCAUCCUAUUGGUUGCUUCUUUUGGUGUAACAGAACUUUUCUUGGAAAAAAGGUUAAAAUUUGAAUAGGUUCUUGAAACUCGUUGCUGGCCCUAAUAUAUGUGUAGUUGAGGUGUCGUUUAAGUUUAUGUUACAAACAUAUUGUCAUCAACGAUGGCUAAAUACAGUAAAAAAGUCCAUGGAAAUGUUUUCUCGAGAUUGCACGACAUUCUAGAGGAAACUGUACAAUCUCUAUUACACAAACAAAACUAAGUACGUACGAUACCCCAUAUGAUAAAGAUAAGGAUAGGUGGUAUAUGGGAUCCCACAUUGCUUGGGAAAGAGAGGUUCUUACUCUUUAUAAGGUUCCAAUUGUAUCAUUAACUAGUCAUUUUGUAGUAUAGGCUCUGUGAUUUAGGCCUUCCAUUGAGGCAUUACAAAUGGUAUUGGAGCCUAUCCCAACCACAAAUGUGGGACUUGAGCCGUGCCUCCUAAGACGGAAGGGCCCAAUGAGGAUGUUAGGAAUUUAAGAGGGGGAGAUUGUGAUAUCCCAUAUGAUAAGGAUAAUGGUAGGUAAUGUAUGAGAUCCCACAUUGUUUGGGGUGGAGAAGUUUUUGCUCUUUAUAAGGUUCUAAUGGGACUCCAAUUGUAUCAUUGAUUAGUCCUUUUGGAGUACAGGCCAUGUGAUUUGGGCUUUCUAUUGGGGCGUUACAGUAUGCUAUUGUGGCCUUAAAGAAAAUGGGAAAAAGAGAAACAAAUAAAUAUGUUAUAUGUGGUAUAUUAGAAUGUUAGUAUGAUUAUUAGUUUUAUGAUAGCCUAUUUCCUAUUAAUACUGUCUUGAUGCAAAAAAAAUUAUCAAGAAAAGAAUACUCUGUGUUAAUGCAGCUUGGCCUGCUUGGGGGUUUAAUUCAUGUAUCAAUACUGUGAGCGGAAUUGCAGACUAUGGGUACUUGUUUACAAUAGUCUUCAAGAUGCGAUUCGCACUACAAAAUGCUAUCAUGAUGUUGACCUUUCUAGUAGUUCAGACUGUAAGUGUUUUAUUUCACUAAGCAUACUCUACUUCUAUGAGGGUCUCUAUAAGAUUUGGGUUAUGUUAAGACCCAUAUUAGGGAGAGCUUGAAAAAUGGUUUGAGAGAUGAGAUCUGUUUUGGUGUUUAAAAGAUAUUUGGAUUGAAAGUGAAGAACUUUUCUAAAAAGUUUUCAAAAUCUUAUGAACAAAACAAUACUUCCUAAGACCUAUUUUUUUGCCCUUUUUUAUUCUCCAUUGCCCUUUUAUUCAUUUUUUCUUUAGUUUUUUUUUUUUUUUUUAAACUACGUUGUUUAUUUUUUCAUGUUUCAAUAUACUAAUGCCUAUUUAAUCUGAUUUUUGUAUGGUAAUUCUUGUUUAAUGUAUCUCUCUCCUUUAAAUGUUCCCUCUCUGUGUUCCUGUUGAGCAGGUAAACUGCAGAGUUUGCUUAAAUAUAUGGAAUGGUGUUGUUACUAUUGCCCCUUGGCUUCAUAACUUCUGGGCGUUGAGCACGCAAAACCCAGAAUUGCUUUAAUAUAUGGCUUGAUGCUCUUGAAUUUAUAACUUUUAUGGUUGAUGCGCAAUUUUAUUGUUGAUAUCUUUAGUAUUGAUUGGAUACUGAGUUUUGGUUUAUGAGUUUCGGGUUUUUCAUGCCGCAGUAUUUAAAGAAUUCCAUUUUUAUUACCAAACAAAUUCGUUACCGAUUUGCUUGGUUUAUGAGUUCUUGUUUUCACAUGUUGCAGUAAACUAUGAAGAAUUCCAUGUUUUGUACCAAACAGAUGAGCUAUAGCUCAAAUUUUUAAAUGAAAAACUUUUGGGAAUUGCAUACUUGUUGCUUGGAUAAGAUCACUUGUUAAAUGUUUUGAGUUGCGGAUUAACAUUUGUCCUUUUUAUUUGUACACAAACCUGGUUUUCUUUUCAUGCAAAUCUGUGGAUGGUAUAACAAAGUGGAAUUGGGUGAAAAUGGUUGCAGAAGUCCCAUUGGCAUGUGGACUUGACAUUUCCUUACCCAUGCUGUGUAUGUGCCAUAUAGAUAAUGCACGUUCUUUCAUCCUUGUCUCUAUGUAACUCUAGUUGAUUUUGGGAUACAUGGAAACCUUAUUGUUGGGAUAUGAUUUUUUCGUGUAGAUAGACUGAACAGCUCAUGAGUUUUAUCUGGAGAAGUUGAAAAUUGGGGAUUGACCAAGCAAAUAGCCUCUGAGUUAAUAGGCCUUCAUGAGAUGAGAUGAUUUGUUUGUCUCUUCAUCCUGUUCGAGGUUCAGUCUUGUGCAAAUAUGAUGGUUCUUUUUGCAAGGGUGUUCUUCUGCAGAUAGGAGGAUGGUCUUUUUGUUCUAUUCCUACGAUGCCCAGUUUUGUGUUUUCUUCCUCUUCUGUUGGUUUGUUUGCCUAAUUUUAUUCUUGAUUUUAUAUGUUCGGGGGUCGAGUGUGAAGCCAAUUUGAGUGUUCUAUCUCUAAGGGUCUUCGUCUAUGGUUGGGAAAGGAGCUAUGUUUUUUCUUCCACUCCUCACUUGCGUGUGCUUUUUUUGUUUCUCUUCAUUUUUUGGCCUUAUUUUGUGUUAUCAUUGAAUAUUAUUCUCUGUUGUCAUUGCAAUGUGCUUGUUUGUAGAUGCUCUACAUUGGGGCCUUUUUUUUCCUGAUAAUCUUUGAUUCUCCGAGAUGGUGUUGAUGCAUGUUGAGAUCGUCUGUGUGGGAUCUUCAAAUUGGUCUUAUUGUGUUGCCUGCUAGAAGAAAAUCUAGGCAGUGGCUUUCUGCUCUCUUGGCAGUACAGGGAAUUGAUUGACUUGGGCUGCAUGGGCUUAGCAAGGGUCAACUUCUUCAUCUUGUUAGCCCCAGGCAUGACCUUCUUCUGGGGUUUCCUCUUUUUAAGCUUCUUAGCUAUGGUUUCUGAAAUUUGUCCCGUGCUGGGUUGUCUUGGCCUUUGCGAGCUUGUCAUUUUUUAGUCAAGUGCAAUGCCUUGCAGCCAAGUUCUUCAAUUGUAGACCCAAUAUCUUCUGGUAGUACGCAAGGAGUAAGGCUUUGUGCCUCUCCUUCAUGUACUUGGCUAUGGUGUAUGGCUUGGACCCACUUUUCUCCUUCAGACCUGACAGAGCCUCCUUCAUCAUCCAAAACUUGGUUUUUACUUGCUGAUUUGGGUGUUUUUGUUCUGUGGUCCGAUGCUUGACCAUCUAGGAUUCAAACCAAUACUCUUCUUGCUCUGCAGGUUCCUGUAUUUUAAUCGAUUGGUGGGCGGUUGAUCAUUGGUAAAACUUUAUUCUCUACAUCUUCUUGAUUGAUUGGAUUCUUGCUCUGCAGGUUCCUGUAUUUUGAAUGUCAAGAGUUGUAAAAUAUAGCGGUGUCAGACAAAUGCCAAUGACCAAGUUGCAUGCUCGACUGAAGCAGCCUUCUGCUUUCUGGCGUGCGAUUUAAAAAAAUGCUGCAGUUUGACUAUUUUUUGCUGUUGAUUCUUCUCGCUGAGGUUUUAAUACCAGAACAUCAUGAGGUUGCUCAACCAAGUGUGACUUUGGAUAGAUGUUCAAAGAGAUUUGAUCUUUUUAUUUGAAACUCAGAUUAAGGAGACAAUGAACUCUUGCCCAGACAACCUCUCCUCUCCUUGCAAGAAGAUGGUGAAGGAUGUGUUGAUUGAGGAGACAGAUGAACUCGACCAUAUGAUCUCCGAGGCCCUUGCAAAAAGAAGGUGAAGGAUGCAGCAUCAUGCAUGGUUCCGGAGUCAGCGAGUAAACGUGUAAAGAGAAGUCUGGCUGAGGAUGAAACAUCUGACACUCCUGCUGUGAAGCUUGUGAAAGUUCAAUUUUCAGCUAUAAGCAACCCAAGGCACAGGUAUGGAAGUAACCAUUGGCAAAAUGUUUGCUGUUGUUCUUGGAGAUGUCAAACUUGGCUCAAUUUAAUGAGUCAUAGAUUUUCUGAGCAUCCACAGACUGUCCUUGUUUAAAAUCUCCAUAGUAAAUUGAUUUGAAUUGUUUUUAAAUUUGGCAGAGGUGCUGUUGCAUAUUCUUUCUUCUUGCUUAAUCUUUCAAAUACUUUUAACUUCAUAGAUGCAACAUACGCAAACUCAUAUAGAUGAAAUUUGACGGUUCUUUUUAUGGGGGGUCUUUGUCUACAGUUGGGGGAGGGAUGGUUUUUGUGUUGUGUUAUUCAAACUUUCAGUUCUGUGUGCUUCUUCUCUUUUCUUUUGUUCGCCUUAUUUCUCUGUUAAACUCUGUUAAGGUUGGCAUGUGCACGUUUCUAGUUUUGGGGCUUUAUUUUCUGAUAGUUUUCGCUUUUCUGAACCAGAAACAGUCUUUGUUAUAACAGGACAUAUCCUAUUAGUGGUAUUCUAUGUCUUACAGUAUGUAAAACACACUUCACUGUAAUUUCUAGGCUUCAGUUCAAAUUAUCUAAUGUACGUUGAGCAGAUACUCUUAUUUUAUCUUUUCUUGUUGCCUCUAUGGUAGCUUAGCUAAAAAUUGAAGUAGUGUCUAGCCUGGAAAUCAGCAAGAAGCAAUUACAGGUGAGUAAACUGUUUGAUGUAUCUCUGUGCUUUAAAUGUUUCCUUGAGGGCUAUAUUCCAAUAUGUAGGUGCUGAUGGCUUAGAUCUCUUGAUUUGGUUUUACCAUAUUUCUGUUCACAUGGAGCAAGUAAACUGCAGAAUUUGCUUAACUAUGUGGCAGGAUGUGACUAUUGCCCCUCACCUUUCAUAACUUAUAUACAGCACGCAGAACCCACAAAUACUUUAAUAUAUGGCUUGCCACUUGAUGUUGUUA
Long non-coding RNA from Carya illinoinensis, 6331 nucleotides. RefSeq lists it as uncharacterized. Lineage: Eukaryota; Viridiplantae; Streptophyta; Magnoliopsida; Fagales; Juglandaceae. The transcript is spliced from 4 exons. The record is from RefSeq and is a predicted model, not a curated record.